AUUGAACGCUGGCGGCAUGCUUUACACAUGCAAGUCGAACGGCAGCGCGGGCUUCGGCCUGGCGGCGAGUGGCGAACGGGCGAGUAAUGCAUCGGAACGUGCCCAGUCGUGGGGGAUAGCCCGGCGAAAGCCGGGUUAAUACCGCAUACGACCUGAGGGUGAAAGCGGGGGACCGAAAGGCCUCGCGCUAUUGGAGCGGCCGAUGUCGGAUUAGCUAGUUGGUGGGGUAAAGGCUUACCAAGGCGACGAUCCGUAGCUGGUCUGAGAGGACGACCAGCCACACUGGGACUGAGACACGGCCCAGACUCCUACGGGAGGCAGCAGUGGGGAAUUUUGGACAAUGGGGGCAACCCUGAUCCAGCCAUGCCGCGUGCGGGAAGAAGGCCUUCGGGUUGUAAACCGCUUUUGUUCGGGAAGAAAUCCUCUGGGCUAAUACCCCGGGGGGAUGACGGUACCGGAAGAAUAAGCACCGGCUAACUACGUG
RNAcentral lists this ribosomal RNA (484 nucleotides) under uncultured bacterium. RNAcentral's name for it is "partial 16S ribosomal RNA". It matches the Rfam family "Bacterial small subunit ribosomal RNA", at positions 28 to 507 of the family's 1533-position model. The record is from RNAcentral.